GAUGAACGCUGGCGGUGUGCUUAACACAUGCAAGUCGAACGAAGCACUUUAUUUGAUUUCCUUCGGGACUGAUUAUUUUGUGACUGAGUGGCGGACGGGUGAGUAACGCGUGGGUAACCUGCCUUGUACAGGGGGAUAACAGUUGGAAACGGCUGCUAAUACCGCAUAAGCGCCCGGCAUCGCAUGAUGUCGUGUGAAAAACUCCGGUGGUAUAAGAUGGACCCGCGUUGGAUUAGCUAGUUGGUGAGGUAACGGCCCACCAAGGCGACGAUCCAUAGCCGACCUGAGAGGGUGACCGGCCACAUUGGGACUGAGACACGGCCCAAACUCCUACGGGAGGCAGCAGUGGGGAAUAGUGCACAAUGGGCGAAAGCCUGAUGCAGCGACGCCGCGUGAGCGAAGAAGUAUUUCGGUAUGUAAAGCUCUAUCAGCAGGGAAGAUAAUGACGGUACCUGACUAAGAAGCACCGGCUAAAUACGUG
Molecule: ribosomal RNA, 481 nt
Filed under: uncultured bacterium
Lineage: Bacteria
Description: partial 16S ribosomal RNA
Rfam family: Bacterial small subunit ribosomal RNA
Source: RNAcentral